Molecule: long non-coding RNA, 868 nt
Filed under: Pogona vitticeps (central bearded dragon)
Lineage: Eukaryota; Metazoa; Chordata; Lepidosauria; Squamata; Agamidae
Description: lncRNA (ENSPVIG00000008748.1)
Source: RNAcentral
UUACAGUCAAAAGUAUCCAUUCCCUCUUACUGAUAACCGCAUUGGACUGGAACUUCUGAUGGAGGCGAACAGGGAAAGAGCACAAGUUUGCUGUAGAAGUAUUGUGAUACUUACCAGCUGAUAUCUUUUGAGGGUGUAAAUCAGCUGAUAAGCUUCUAUAGCAACACCAAGAGGUCAAGACUGAUUGAAUUAACUGUGGCACCUGUAAACUCUGCAACAUGACUUUUUGACCUAGUGUUAAUGGUAUAAUGAAUGGAAAGCUGAUUACUCAUGGCAUUUCCUCUGAAAGAAAGUGUUGAAAACAUGGUAUUUUGACUAGUGAGAUUUUAAAGUUGAAUCAAGAUGUCAUCAGUGGGUAUGAAAAUUUAGGAGGGACAAUCUAAGAUACAAAACUGAGUUGAAAAAGGAAGUGGCCAAUCCAAAUGAAAUGUGAAUCAGGAGAAUCUGAAGCUUGGAAUGUGAUGUCCUGGCUCCUCUUGUCGGACUAGAUAAUCCUUCCCGGCACAUGACGGCAGACAUGAGACAUUGGUGGCUGUGCUUUAGAAAAAAACUUCCUGAAAAGCAAAGGACAGCCACCAUGAUGUCAGGACAUAAGAAGUGGUGUGCAGGAGGAUCUUGCUUCAAUCAAAGGAUAAUUUUUUAUUAUUAUUAUUGGAACAAAAACAAAGCCUUUCCAGAGACUUAGAAACACACAAAUAAUGUCACAAACUUGAAGAUGGAGCAGAUGAGAAUGUGUUCUAAAUGUGACAUAGCAGGUCAGUCUUGAUCUAUACAUCUCUUAUUUGGGUACAGAGACAUUCGGACCCCCUUGAGUGCCUGUAAGAGAUGUUUUACCUUGCCUUAAGGGUGAAUAUGUUACAGCCUUUCU